AGAGGACAGGAGGGGAAAGAACGUCAGCGUCCAGCUCAGACACGGCUCCGCCUUCCCCGAGAUCCAGGCGCUCAGCCGGGCCCGCCGCCCGGGGCUCGCCCAGACCACGCGGUGACGGUCCGCAGGCCCAGGUCGCGCCUCCCCGCCGGGGCUGAGAUUUGGCCCCUAGCCCCAGGGAGAUCGGGGUGGGUGACCCCAGGGAAGCCCCGCCCCUUCCUUCCUCCCCCUUCCCUAAAGCGCGCGGGCGGGAACGGAGGGAACCCGGCGAAAGUGCACGCCCCGCGGGCCGGCGUGGGCGUGUGUGAUCGUAACCCCGUCCCUGCCUGGAAAGCCGCGGGGCGGGCAGCGAGAAGGCCCAGGGCGGUGGCUGCGGGGGCGGGCGGCCGGGCCAGCGCCGCGUCUCCGUGCCUUAUAAGGGCUUCAAGUCAGCCCAGCCAUUCGGGAUGCGGCGGGGACCUGGAGGCGGUGCCGGGACCCCCGCCCUGCUCGUGGAUUGGGGGGGCGGGGGGCGGGGAGGAGGGAAGGGGCCCGGACUCCAGAUCCCAGCGGGUGAAGGCUGCAAGUUCGGAUUUCUGGGUCGUUCAAAAAUGGAUCAAGAUUUAUUUAUGAGGCCAAGGAACUGGAAGAAGUUGUGUUGGCACAAAGCUAGAAAGACAGAACCUGGAACAGACUGGAGAGAAUGGAAUGGAAGAGGAGAGGAAAAUGGAAGAUCAUGAAUACCCUGAACCUCUUUUUCUUUGACAUUUUAAAAGAAUGUUUGAGACCAAUAAAUGGAAUUAUUCAAAUGUCA
Non-coding RNA from Sus scrofa (pig), 790 nucleotides. Lineage: Eukaryota; Metazoa; Chordata; Mammalia; Artiodactyla; Suidae. The record is from RefSeq and is a predicted model, not a curated record.